Molecule: ribosomal RNA, 499 nt
Filed under: uncultured bacterium
Lineage: Bacteria
Description: partial 16S ribosomal RNA
Rfam family: Bacterial small subunit ribosomal RNA
Source: RNAcentral
GACGAACGCUGGCGGCGUGCCUAAUACAUGCAAGUCGAGCGGACUGAAUGGGAGCUUGCUCUUGUUCGGUCAGCGGCGGACGGGUGAGUAACACGUGGGCAACCUGCCCGCAAGACCGGGAUAACUCCGGGAAACCGGAGCUAAUACCGGAUAACACCGAAGACCGCAUGGUCUUUGGUUGGAAGGCGGCGCAAGCUGCCACUUGCGGAUGGGCCCGCGGCGCAUUAGCUAGUUGGUGAGGUAACGGCUCACCAAGGCGACGAUGCGUAGCCGGCCUGAGAAGGUGACCGGCCACACUGGGACUGAGACACGGCCCAGACUCCUACGGGAGGCAGCAGUAGGGAAUCUUCCGCAAGAGGCGAAAGCCUGACGGAGCGACGCCGCGUGAGCGAAGAAGGCCUUCGGGUCGUAAAGCUCUGUUGUGAGGGACGAAGGAGCGCCGUUUGAAGAAGGCGGCGCGGUGACGGUACCUCACGAGGAAGCCCCGGCUAACUACGUG